CCACCGCAGGUACGCUAACUGCAGUCGAGCGAAGGAUUAGAGCUUGCUCUUAUGAAGUUAGCGGCGGACGGGUGAGUAACACGUGGGUAACCUGCCCAUAAGACUGGGAUAACUCCGGGAAACCGGGGCUAAUACCGGAUAACAUUUUGAACCGCAUGGUUCGAAAUUGAAAGGCGGCUUCGGCUGUCACUUAUGGAUGGACCCGCGUCGCAUUAGCUAGUUGGUGAGGUAACGGCUCACCAAGGCAACGAUGCGUAGCCGACCUGAGAGGGUGAUCGGCCACACUGGGACUGAGACACGGCCCAGACUCCUACGGGAGGCAGCAGUAGGGAAUCUUCCGCAAUGGACGAAAGUCUGACGGAGCAACGCCGCGUGAGUGAUGAAGGCUUUCGGAUCGUAAAACUCUGUUGUUAGGGAAGAACAAGUGCUAGUUGAAUAAGCUGGCACCUUGACGGUACCUAACCAAAAAGCCACGGCUAACUACGUGCCACCAGCCGCGGUAAUACGUAGGUGGCAAGCGUUAUCCGGAAUUAUUGGGCGUAAAGCGCGCGCAGGUGGUUUCUUAAGUCUGAUGUGAAAGCCCCCGGCUCACCCGUGGAGGGUCAUUGGAAACUGGGAGACUUGAGUGCAAAAAAGGAAAGUGGAAUUCCAUGUGUACCGGUGAAAUGCCUAAAAAUUUGGAGGAACCCCAGUGGCGAAAGGGACUUUCUGGUCUGUAAAUGACACUGAGGCCCGAAAACCUGGGGAGCAAACAAGAUUAAAAACCCCGGGAUUCCACCCCCCAAACCAAAAGGGGCAAAUUGUUAGAGGGGUUUCCCCCCCUUUUUGGGGGCCACUCGUAAAAAGAGAAGGAAAAAAGGGGAAAUUUUCUAGUGCGUGGGGGGUUUAAAGGGGGGAGGAAUUAUGGGGGGGGAACCCCCGGGGGGGGGGAGGGGCGCUUUUUUGUGUUUUGUCACCGGCCCUUGGAGGGGAGAAAAGCGGGGGGGACCCAAACCCGGGUUUAGAUCCCCCGGGUAUUCCCCGCCUUUAACCGGGGAGUCCAAAGUGUUGGGGGUUUUCCCCCUUUGGGGGGGAAGAAACCGCAUAAACCACUCCCCGGGGGGAGUCCGGCCCCAAGGCUAAAACUCAAGGGAUUUGAGGGGGGCCCGCACAAGCGGUGGAGCAUGUGUUUUAUUUCGAAGCAACGGGAAGACCCUUCCCGGGUCUUGACAUCUUUGGACAACCUUAGAGAUAGGGUUUCUCUUUGGGGACCAGAGUGACAGGUGGUGCAUGGUUGUCGUCAGCUCGUGUCGUGAGAUGUUGGGUUAAGUCCCGCAACGAGCGCAACCCUUGUUCUUAGUUGCCAUCAUUAAGUUGGGCACUCUAAGGUGACUGCCGGUGACAAACCGGAGGAAGGUGGGGAUGACGUCAAAUCAUCAUGCCCCUUAUGACCUGGGCUACACACGUGCUCCAAUGGACGGUACAAAGAGUUGCAAGCCCGCGAGGGGGAGCUAAUCUCAUAAAACCGUUCUCAGUUCGGAUUGUAGGCUGCAACUCGCCUACAUGAAGCGGGAAUCGCUAGUAAUCGCGGAUCACCAUGCCGCGGUGAAUACGUUCCCGGCCCUUGUACACACCGCCCGUCACACCACGAGAGUUUGUAACACCCGAAGUCGGUGGGUAACCUUUGAGCCGCCCUAUGUGUCGUGGCG
RNAcentral lists this ribosomal RNA (1688 nucleotides) under bacterium EC-2006/2. RNAcentral's name for it is "partial 16S ribosomal RNA". It matches the Rfam family "Bacterial small subunit ribosomal RNA". The record is from RNAcentral.